This 468-nucleotide ribosomal RNA is filed under the name uncultured bacterium. RNAcentral's name for it is "partial 16S ribosomal RNA". It matches the Rfam family "Bacterial small subunit ribosomal RNA", at positions 28 to 507 of the family's 1533-position model. The record is from RNAcentral.
GACGAACGCUGGCGGCGUGCUUAACACAUGCAAGUCGAACGGAAAGGCCCUGCUUUUGUGGGGUGCUCGAGUGGCGAACGGGUGAGUAACACGUGAGUAACCUGCCCUUGACUUUGGGAUAACUUCAGGAAACUGGGGCUAAUACCGGAUAGGAGCUCCUGCUGCAUGGUGGGGGUUGGAAAGUUUCGGCGGUUGGGGAUGGACUCGCGGCUUAUCAGCUUGUUGGUGGGGUAGUGGCUUACCAAGGCUUUGACGGGUAGCCGGCCUGAGAGGGUGACCGGCCACAUUGGGACUGGGAUACGGCCCGGACUCCUACGGGAGGCAGCAGUGGGAAAUAUUGCGCGAUGGGCGGAAGCCUGAUGCAGCAACGCCGCGUGCGGGAUGACGGCCUUCGGGUUGUAAACCGCUUUCGCCUGUGACGAAGCGUGAGUGACGGUAAUGGGUAAAGAAGCACCGGCUAACUACGUG